This 119-nucleotide ribosomal RNA is filed under the name Helictotrichon convolutum. Lineage: Eukaryota; Viridiplantae; Streptophyta; Magnoliopsida; Poales; Poaceae. The record is from RNAcentral.
GGAUGCGAUCAUACCAGCACUAAAGCACCGGAUCCCAUCAGAACUCCGAAGUUAAGCGUGCUUGGGCGAGAGUAGUACUAGGAUUGGUGACCUCCUGGGAAGUCCUCGUGUUGCAUCCC